Molecule: long non-coding RNA, 537 nt
Organism: Zingiber officinale
Lineage: Eukaryota; Viridiplantae; Streptophyta; Magnoliopsida; Zingiberales; Zingiberaceae
Exons: 3
Source: RefSeq, a predicted model, not a curated record
CCUAGGUUUUCCCUUCUCCUUCACCACCUCGCGGCGACUCCUUGCAUUGCCUUGCCUCUUCGUUUGCUGUCGCCGAAGGUGUGCCCUUGCCAGAUCCCUCUGCCGAAGCUUCUCCCUGUCCCUUCCUCUCUUCCGGCCGAGCAGUGUCACCAGUCUCCUGAGCCCUAGCGCCAACCGUCGUGCCUUAAUUCAUGACCGCCGCCCCUCUGCUGCAAUUUGGCAGCACGACCAUCACUGGUGAGGUGUUAAUGGUGGAUGGAGGAUAGAUUCAUCAUGGGUUUGGUUUCGGACCGGAGAAAAUAGUGCCAAAUCCUUUAUUGUGUUUCUGCUCGACAGUGCCGAAGAGGACACAGAGCUAUGCCGUAGCCGGAUCUUGGAGUGAAGAAUUUUCAGCAGCCAACGUCCCUUAAUGGCAGCAAGUUCCAGCCAGCAAUUCUUUGGUUUCAGUACAAACCGGUGGCUGUGAAUUAAGGACUUUGACACGAGACGAGCAUCUCGAUGUUGGAUUUGACUGGAUUGAACCUGCUAUUGGAGGCG